RNAcentral lists this Y RNA (103 nucleotides) under Gorilla gorilla gorilla (western lowland gorilla). RNAcentral describes it as "Y RNA (ENSGGOG00000041864.1)". It matches the Rfam family "Y RNA". Rfam says of the family: Y RNAs are components of the Ro ribonucleoprotein particle (Ro RNP), in association with Ro60 and La proteins. The record is from RNAcentral. Lineage: Eukaryota; Metazoa; Chordata; Mammalia; Primates; Hominidae.
UGUCUCCUCCAAAUGCAGUGGUGUUUCCAACUGAUUUGUCACAACCAGUUACAGAUUUCUUUGUUCCUUCUCCACUCUCACUGCUUCACUUGACGAGCAUUUU